This 253-nucleotide ribosomal RNA is filed under the name uncultured bacterium. RNAcentral describes it as "partial 16S ribosomal RNA". It matches the Rfam family "Bacterial small subunit ribosomal RNA", at positions 524 to 776 of the family's 1533-position model. The record is from RNAcentral.
UACGUAGGGUGCAAGCGUUGUCCGGAAUUAUUGGGCGUAAAGAGCUCGUAGGCGGUUUGUUGCGUCGGCUGUAAAAUCCCGAGGCUCAACCUCGGGUCUGCAGUCGAUACGAGCAAACUAGAGUGUUGCAGGGGAGACUGGAAUUCCUGGUGUAGCGGUGAAAUGCGCAGAUAUCAGGAAGAACACCCGUGGCGAAAGCGGCUCUCUGGAACGGUACUGACGCUGAGACGCGAAAGCGUGGGGAGCGAACAGG